UUCAGUUAAAGGCAAACCAGUCGAAAGGCUGGGACGCAAAACUUCAGGUCUAAGGUCCUUAGGACUAGGAUAGCUGGGUUUCCUGA
RNAcentral lists this non-coding RNA (86 nucleotides) under Priestia megaterium. RNAcentral's name for it is "Bacillus megaterium GEMM cis-regulatory element". It matches the Rfam family "c-di-GMP-I riboswitch aptamer". From Rfam's summary of the family: GEMM was predicted in a large-scale screen for bacterial structured RNA regulatory elements. Lineage: Bacteria; Bacillati; Bacillota; Bacilli; Caryophanales; Bacillaceae. The record is from RNAcentral.